This 1377-nucleotide ribosomal RNA is filed under the name Orthotylinae gen. ZANCGEN1 sp. Msp482. RNAcentral's name for it is "partial large subunit ribosomal RNA". It matches the Rfam family "Eukaryotic large subunit ribosomal RNA", at positions 659 to 1902 of the family's 3401-position model. Lineage: Eukaryota; Metazoa; Arthropoda; Insecta; Hemiptera; Miridae. The record is from RNAcentral.
ACACGGACCAAGGAGUUUAGCGUGUGCGCGAGUCAUUGAGUGAAAAAACUCAAAGGCGUAAUGAAAGUGAAGGGAACUUUACGUUUCUGAGGGAGGAUGAGUGUGCUCUUCACGGGGCCGCUCCGCACUCCCGGGGCGUCUCUAUCUCAUUGCGAGAGGAGGCGCACCUAGAGCGUACACGCUGAUACCCGAAAGAUGGUGAACUAUGCCUGGCCAGGACGAAGCCAGGGGAAACCCUGGUGGAGGUCCGCAGCGAUUCUGACGUGCAAAUCGAUCGUCGGAGCUGGGUUUAGGGGCGAAAGACCAAUCGAACCAUCUAGUAGCUGGUUCCCUCUGAAGUUUCCCUCAGGAUAGCUUGCGCUCGGACGAGACGAGUCUCAUCCGGUAGAGCGAAUGAUUAGAGGCCUUGGGGUCGAAACGACCUCAACCUAUUCUCAAACUCCAAAUAGAUGAGAACCCCUGGCUUUUCUUAAACUAUGAAGCCAAGGGGUUUCGGAUCAGAGUGCCAAGUGGGCCAAUUUUGGUAAGCAGAACUGGCGCUGUGGGAUGAACCAAACGCGGAGUUAAGGCGCCUCAAUCGACGCUCAUGUGAGACCAUGAAAGGCGUUGGUUGCUUAAGACAGCAGGACGGUGGCCAUGGAAGUCGGAAUCCGCUAAGGAGUGUGUAACAACUCACCUGCCGAAGCAACUAGCCCUGAAAAUGGAUGGCGCUGUAGCGUCGUGCCUAUACUCCGCCGUCAACGGCAACGCAGGCAGCUCUCUCACGGGAGCGGCGCUGUUAAGCCUUGACGAGUAAGAGGGCCGCGGCGACGUGCGCAGAAGGGUUUUGGGCGCGAGCCUGCCUGGAGCCGUCGUCGGUGCAGAUCUUGGUGGUAGUAGCAAAUACUCCAGCGAGGCCCUGGAGGACUGAUGUGGAGAAGGGUUUCUUGUGAACAGCUGUUGCACAAGAGUCAGUCGAUCCUAAGCCCUAGGAGAAAUCCGAAGCGAUGGGUUGCCGUUAAAUGUCACAAGCUUGAUGUUGGCACCAUUUGGGCGAAAGGGAAUCUGGUUCCUAUUCCAGAACCUGGCAGUGGAACCGUUCCAAAUCGGGCCCUCAUUGAGGACUCGUCAGGGCAACCUGAAAGGACCCGGAGACGCCGUCGGGAGAUUCAGGGAGAGUUGUCUCUUCUCUAUAAGCGAUCGAGUUCCCUGGAAACCUCUAGCAGGGAGAUAGGGUUUGGAUCGCGAAGAGCACCGCAGUUACGGCGGUGUCCGAAUCUUCCCCACGGACCUUGAAAAUCCGGGAGAGGGCCACGAGGAACCCCACGCCAGAAUCGUACCCAAUAUCCGCAGCAAGGUCUCCAAGGUGAAAAAGCCUCUAGUCGAUAGACUAAUGUA